RNAcentral lists this ribosomal RNA (468 nucleotides) under uncultured bacterium. RNAcentral's name for it is "partial 16S ribosomal RNA". It matches the Rfam family "Bacterial small subunit ribosomal RNA", at positions 28 to 507 of the family's 1533-position model. The record is from RNAcentral.
GACGAACGCUGGCGGCGUGCUUAACACAUGCAAGUCGAACGGAAAGGCCCUGCUUUUGUGGGGUGCUCGAGUGGCGAACGGGUGAGUAAUACGUGAGUAACCUGCCCUUGACUUUGGGAUAACUUCAGGAAACUGGGGCUAAUACCGGAUAGGAGCUCCUGCUGCAUGGUGGGGGUUGGAAAGUUUCGGCGGUUGGGGAUGGACUCGCGGCUUAUCAGCUUGUUGGUGGGGUAGUGGCUUACCAAGGCUUUGACGGGUAGCCGGCCUGAGAGGGUGACCGGCCACAUUGGGACUGAGGUGCGGCCCAGACUCCUACGGGAGGCAGCAGUGGGGAAUAUUGCACAAUGGGCGGAAGCCUGAUGCAGCAACGCCGCGUGCGGGAUGACGGCCUUCGGGUUGUAAACCGCUUUCGCCUGUGACGAAGCGUGAGUGACGGUAAUGGGUAAAGAAGCACCGGCUAACUACGUG